Molecule: non-coding RNA, 31 nt
Filed under: Mus musculus (house mouse)
Lineage: Eukaryota; Metazoa; Chordata; Mammalia; Rodentia; Muridae
Source: RNAcentral
AAGGCUGGGAAGGCAAGGCUGACACUGUCCA